Molecule: ribosomal RNA, 243 nt
Filed under: uncultured bacterium
Lineage: Bacteria
Description: partial 16S ribosomal RNA
Rfam family: Bacterial small subunit ribosomal RNA
Source: RNAcentral
GUAUCCUGGCUCAGGAUGAACGCUAGCGACAGGCUUAACACAUGCAAGUCGAGGGGCAGCAUGAGGUAGCAAUACCUUGAUGGCGACCGGCGCACGGGUGAGUAACGCGUAUGCAACCUGCCCGAUACCGGGGUAUAGCCCAUGGAAACGUGGAUUAACACCCCAUAGUACUUUUAUCCUGCAUGGGAUGUGAGUUAAAUGUUCAAGGUAUCGGAUGGGCAUGCGUCCUAUUAGUUAGUUGGG